Non-coding RNA from Benincasa hispida (wax gourd), 3100 nucleotides. Lineage: Eukaryota; Viridiplantae; Streptophyta; Magnoliopsida; Cucurbitales; Cucurbitaceae. The record is from RefSeq and is a predicted model, not a curated record.
GUGUGUCAUUCGGUCGGUGGCCGAAUCGGAGUAAAAAAUCAUCCUCCAUUGGUCACUGCUUCCAUCAUGAUCCCUAUCAAGCACGUGCAUACCGAUGGAGUCGUCUGUGAGUGGGUCCUUUUCUGGAUGGCUUCUUCUCCAACAAAUAUCAUGAAAAUGGAUGAACCCACCAUUUUGCUUAAAUCCGUGAUGUGGGUGUUUAUGUACUUCUAAACCACAGCUCCCUCGCUUUCUUGGCUUUUUCUCGUUUCAUGAGGGUCAUUCCCCUUCUUCAUCUUCCGGUUCCACCGGCACCGGCGAUCAGCACCACUCGUCGGCAGUCGAUACCUCCUUCCUACGCUCUUUGCAGACAUGGGUCAUUUCCGUUACGUUCCGGUUUGCGUUUUUUGUUUCGUUCUGUUAGGAAGUUUGAGCUAUUAGCUGCGAAUAAACAGUUGCCGGAGCUGAAGAACGAAAAAUCAGAGAGUGAAGAAGGUAUUUCGUUGCGAGCGGAGGAUGGCAAUAGAAUUGAUUUAGGAUGGUUGCCUGCUUUUCCUCAUGUUCUGGUUGCUUCCAUGUCUAAUUUUCUGUUCGGUUACCACAUAGGAGUAAUGAAUGGUCCUAUUAUUUCUAUUGCUCGAGAACUUGGUUUUGAGGGGAACUCGAUCCUUGAGGGUCUUGUUGUGAGCAUUUUUAUUGUUGGUGCAUUUCUUGGAAGUAUAAGCUCUGGUUCGCUGCUUGAUAAACUAGGAUUUAGGCGUACUUUUCAAAUUGCCACAAUACCCUUGAUUCUUGGUGCGCUGUUGAGUGCUCAAGCCCAUACCUUGGAUGAAAUACUUUGGGGAAGAUUUCUUGUUGGCCUUGGCAUUGGAGUUAAUACAGUGCUUGUUCCAAUUUAUAUCUCCGAGGUUGCUCCAACUAAGUAUAGAGGAACACUCGGAGGCCUGUGCCAGAUUGGAACAUGUCUUGGAAUUAUUGCCUCACUGUUUCUGGGAAUUCCAUCAGAGAAUGAUCCACAUUGGUGUGUGUGCUCCUCCCUUUUUGGUUUUCUUUUGAAAUGGUGGAGGACAAUGCUCUAUAUUGCAAGUCUUCCUGGAUUCUUUAUUGCAUUUGGCAUGCUGUUUGCAGUUGAAAGUCCACGCUGGCUAAGCAAGGCUGGGCGAUUGGAUGAAACCAGAGUUGUUAUCCGCGACCUAUGGGGAGAAUCUGAAGUUGAAAGAGCAGUCGAAGAGUUCCAGUCCGUAAUAAGGAAUGAUGGAAGUGAUUUGAACAGUGGAUGGUCAGAGCUUCUCGAGGAACAAAACUUUAAAGUGGCGUUCAUUGGAGGUUCCCUUUUCUUCCUUCAACAAUUUGCUGGCAUAAAUGGAGUUCUUUAUUUUUCAUCUUUGACCUUUCAAGACGUUGGAAUCACAAAUGUUGCUUUAGCCAGUUUAGUUAUUGGAAUUACCAAUUUUGCUGGUGCUCUCUGUGCGUUGUACUUGAUGGAUGAACAAGGGAGACAGAGGCUUUUAAUUGGAAGCUAUUUGGGCAUGGCAGUUUCAAUGUUGCUUGUCGUCUCUACCAUUAGUUUCCAGCUCGAUGAAGAACUGAGUCACAAUCUAUCGAUAGUAGGAACUAUUGCUUAUAUCUUCUCUUUCGCAAUCGGAGCCGGUCCAGUGACUGGUAUUAUUAUACCCGAGCUUAGCAGCACCCGAGCACGUGGGAAGAUCAUGGGAUUCAGCCUUGCAGUUCACUGGGUAUGCAAUUUCUCAGUGGGUCUAUUCUUUCUCGACUUGGUCCAAACAUUUGGAGUUGCUCCAGUUUAUGCCAGCUUUGGUGCAUGUUCCUUUGUGGCUGCCAUAUUUUCCAAGUACUUUUUAGUGGAAACAAAGGGGAGGUCUUUGGAGGAGAUCGAGAUGGCACUAAAUCCCAACUUCCAUGGCAGUGACAAGUAAUGCAGAGAUUGACCUAAUCACUUUACUGGUUAAUUGCUGCACCAUUUUAUCAGUACGAAAUAAAAAAUUUGCACGAAUGCUUUGUUGUCGCCGACUUGAGCAUAUCUCAACUGAUUUAGGCAUAUGCUGUCGACCAAAAAGUCAGAGGUUCCAAUUUCCUCCCAAAAAGAAUGUCGGGCUCUUAUUAAUAGAGUUCAAUGAAACCAUUGAAGGGCAGUUCGGUAAUUUGGACACAAGAGUAAAGCUCAGCUAAAAGAAUUGAGAUUCUCUCUCUCUUUCUUUGUGAAUCACAGGAUUUGUGGAAUGCAAGCAAGAUGAACACAGUUGGAAGUGGGAGCCUUUUAGAAAUGGCUUGUUUGGGAAGGCAUAUCAGAAACUGAAAGCAGCUGUUUGGACACAGGUUUGUGAAAUUCUUGGGAUUGAAACAAUAAAACCAGAAUAGGGUUACUCCAAACCUGGAUAUGGAUGGCAUUUCAAGACUGAUCUGAUACAGAUGGGUUGAAAGUUUCAAAAAUUUUGGUGGGUUUUGAAAACAGAAAUCACAGGUAAGGUUAAAACGUAAGGCAAUACAAAAUUAAAGAGCGACGGUUUUGGAAUCAGAAGGCGACGGGCUCUUAGUUCAAGGUGAGAAAGAAGAAGAAACUGAAAUACAGCCAUUGGAAUUGAUCAUGGCUUUAAACCCAGGACCUGUUGAUCCCAAUGUUUUGUACGACCAGUCCAUUCAUCAAUCAUCUGUUGUAUGGCGAGAUCGUACUACUAGAGAAAUAUGUUGCAGGUGUCGAGAGGCAGUUCUCCAACACACUAUCCCGAUCUACCCUCAAAUACUACCGCUACUGCGCACAUCUGGAUUCUAUGGGGUUGCCAGAUUAGGAUUUAUUCAGUUGGACUGGCAUCUGAUUACAGCCUUGGUCGAGAGAUGGAGGCCCGAGACGCAUACAUUCCAUAUGUCUGUUGGAAAGUGCACUAUCACUCUACAAGACAUAGAAGUAUUGUUGGGGUUACCUGUUGAUGGUGAGCCGGUCACCGAGUGAUAUACGAUGACUGGUUAGAAGUUUGUCAACUGUACUUCGGUGCGAACUCACCUGCUGACAAGAUUAAAGGAUCGAGGUUAAGUUUAAUAUGGUUAGGAACACAAUUUCGUGAGCUCACAGAUGAUGCAGAUGAGGAAACCGUCAUAAGAUAUGCGC